GGUGAGGUGCCUGAGAGGCCGAAAGGAGCAGUUUGCUAAACUGUCGUACGGGGAAACCUGUACCGUGGGUUCGAAUCCCACCCUCACCG
Molecule: transfer RNA, 89 nt
Filed under: Bacteroidota bacterium
Lineage: Bacteria; Pseudomonadati; Bacteroidota
Also listed under: 1 other name
Description: Bacteroidetes bacterium (activated sludge metagenome) tRNA-Ser
Rfam family: tRNA
About the family: Transfer RNA (tRNA) molecules are approximately 80 nucleotides in length. Their secondary structure includes four short double-helical elements and three loops (D, anti-codon, and T loops).
Source: RNAcentral